GAAAUGCGAUAAGUAAUGUGAAUUGCAGAAUUCAGUGAAUCAUCGAAUCUUUGAACGCACAUUGCGCCCGCCAGCACUCUGGCGGGCAUGCCUGUUCGAGCGUCAUUUCAACCAUCAAGCCCCCGGGCUUGCGUUGGGGACCUGCGGCUGCCCGCAGGCCCUGAAAACCAGGGGCUGGCUCGCUGUCACCCCGGUCGUAGUAGUAUCAUCUCGUCCAGAGCAUGGCUGUGGCCUCCGGCCGUUAAACAUUCUCACACCCAAACGUUGACCUCGGAUCAGGUAGGACUACCCGCUGAACUUAA
This 302-nucleotide unclassified non-coding RNA is filed under the name uncultured Sordariomycetes. Its description in RNAcentral is "sequence contains ITS1". The stretch from base 1 to 105 matches the Rfam family "5.8S ribosomal RNA", at positions 50 to 154 of the family's 154-position model. Lineage: Eukaryota; Fungi; Ascomycota; Sordariomycetes. The record is from RNAcentral.